GCCUACGGGGCGCAGCAGUCGAGAAUCAUUCACAAUGGGGGAAACCCUGAUGGUGCGACGCCGCGUGGGGGAAUGAAGGUCUUCGGAUUGUAAACCCCUGUCAUGUGGGAGCAAAUUAAAAAGAUAGUACCACAAGAGGAAGAGACGGCUAACUCUGUGCCAGCAGCCGCGGUAAUACAGAGGACUCACGCGUUGUUCGGAAUCACUGGGCGUAAAGCGUGCGUAGGCUGUUUCGUGAGUCGUGUGUGAAAGUCGCGGGCUCAACCCGCGGACGGCACAUUAUACUGCGAGACUAGAGUAAUGCG
This 305-nucleotide ribosomal RNA is filed under the name uncultured bacterium. RNAcentral describes it as "bacterial SSU rRNA". It matches the Rfam family "Bacterial small subunit ribosomal RNA", at positions 337 to 653 of the family's 1533-position model. The record is from RNAcentral.